Molecule: ribosomal RNA, 469 nt
Filed under: uncultured bacterium
Lineage: Bacteria
Description: partial 16S ribosomal RNA
Rfam family: Bacterial small subunit ribosomal RNA
Source: RNAcentral
UGGGGAAUUUUGGACAAUGGGCGCAAGCCUGAUCCAGCCAUGCCGCGUGCGGGAAGAAGGCCUUCGGGUUGUAAACCGCUUUUGUCAGGGAAGAAAUCUUCUGAGUUAAUACCUCGGGAGGAUGACGGUACCUGAAGAAUAAGCACCGGCUAACUACGUGCCAGCAGCCGCGGUAAUACGUAGGGUGCAAGCGUUAAUCGGAAUUACUGGGCGUAAAGCGUGCGCAGGCGGUUUUGUAAGACAGAGGUGAAAUCCCCGGGCUCAACCUGGGAACUGCCUUUGUGACUGCAAGGCUUGAGUGCGGCAGAGGGGGAUGGAAUUCCGCGUGUAGCAGUGAAAUGCGUAGAUAUGCGGAGGAACACCGAUGGCGAAGGCAAUCCCCUGGGCCUGCACUGACGCUCAUGCACGAAAGCGUGGGGAGCAAACAUGAUUAGAUACCCUGGUAGUCCACGCCCUAAACGAUGUCAAC